This is a long non-coding RNA of Magnolia sinica, 423 nucleotides long. RefSeq lists it as uncharacterized. The transcript has 3 exons. NCBI's taxonomy places the organism in Eukaryota, Viridiplantae, Streptophyta, Magnoliopsida, Magnoliales, Magnoliaceae. The record is from RefSeq and is a predicted model, not a curated record.
CGAAGGAGAGGAAUCUUACCUCUGAUGCCGAGAUAGGUAGAUGUGAUGUUUACUUAAGAGCCCAUACAAGCAAGGACAAAGUUGUCCAGUACCCUGACCUUAUUGAAAAAUUAGAUGAGCUUUAUUCUAGCAAUCCUUCUUCUAAUAUUAUCGGUGUUGACGAUGCCCUUACACAGUUGGUUGGUUCUGACAGUAGAGGGUGAAUGCGAGGUCUAGGUUGCUCAAUAACCAAGACAGGACUGAAGAUGUCAGCCCUUGCCCGUUCAAAGGUAGAGAAUUUGAAAAAAGAAAGAGAUAGCCUAGUGCAGGAGAUAUUUGAUAUAAAGAAAUCAUUGGCCAAGAUGGAGGCAUGGAUGGAGAUGCAGCAACACGCACAAUCUACUCAAAACCUCUCAUCACCAACAAUUGCUAAAUCUGCUCAGG